AAAGUUGAAAAGCACUUUGAAAAGAGAGUGCAAGAGAACGUGAAACCGUUAUAGUGGAAGCGGAUAGAGUCGACGUAUCCAGUGCGUAUUCAGCCGCUUUGCGGGGCAAGUUUUUCGUUCGGAAUUCUGCAAAGUUUUCGGCGGACUUUUUUGUUCUGCGAAGUGGUGCAUUUGCGUACAGAGUGCGCCGAAUCGGCCGAGCUCGCUGUUUGAUAGUCGUAAAGAGGACCAUUUAUUUGGAAACCUGUGUGACCGAAUGACAGUCGAGUUUGGUUGUAAAAAGGGCUGGUAUUUCGUGGCAAGGGCCGUGAGUCGGGGUCGAAUUUGUACGAUGCAUGCGUUUUGCAUUUACGAUUUCGCUUCAUUGUUCUUGCUGCUCAGCCCUAUAUUCGGUGUUUAGUCGAUCACCUAUUUGACCCGUCUUGAAACACGGACCAAGGAGUUUAAGGUGUACGCAAGUCAUUGAUCGUUGAAAGUCAAAGGCGUAAUGAAAGUGGGACACUUGGUGUCUGUGAUGUGAACUUGGCGGGUUUCGACCUGUCUAGUGCAACAUCGACCCAUGACUAGGACUUGUUCUGUUGUGGAGUCUGAGCGUACGCUUUGAGACCCGAAAGAUGGUGAACUAUGCCUGAACAGGACGAAGUCAGAGGAAACUCUGAUGGAAGUCCGAAGCGGUUCUGACGUGCAAAUCGAUCGUCUGAUUGGGUAUA
This 710-nucleotide ribosomal RNA is filed under the name Aphelenchoides sp. CD3645. RNAcentral's name for it is "partial large subunit ribosomal RNA". It matches the Rfam family "Eukaryotic large subunit ribosomal RNA", at positions 360 to 919 of the family's 3401-position model. Lineage: Eukaryota; Metazoa; Nematoda; Chromadorea; Rhabditida; Aphelenchoididae. The record is from RNAcentral.